RNAcentral lists this ribosomal RNA (466 nucleotides) under uncultured bacterium. RNAcentral describes it as "partial 16S ribosomal RNA". It matches the Rfam family "Bacterial small subunit ribosomal RNA", at positions 28 to 507 of the family's 1533-position model. The record is from RNAcentral.
GAUGAACGCUGGCGGCGUGCUUAACACAUGCAAGUCGAACGGAAAGGCUCCUGCUUGCAGGGGUACUCGAGUGGCGAACGGGUGAGUAACACGUGGGUGAUCUGCCCUGCACUUCGGGAUAAGCCUGGGAAACUGGGUCUAAUACCGGAUAGGACGAUGGUUUGGAUGCCAUUGUGGACAGUUUUUUCGGUGUGGGAUGAGCUCGCGGCCUAUCAGCUUGUUGGUGGGGUAAUGGCCUACCAAGGCGUCGACGGGUAGCCGGCCUGAGAGGGUGUACGGCCACAUUGGGACUGAGAUACGGCCCAGACUCCUACGGGAGGCAGCAGUGGGGAAUAUUGCACAAUGGGCGCAAGCCUGAUGCAGCGACGCCGCGUGGGGGAUGACGGCCUUCGGGUUGUAAACUCCUUUCGCUAGGGACGAAGCGCAAGUGACGGUACCUGGAGAAGAAGCACCGGCUAACUACGUG